GGGGUUGUGGCUUAGCAGUAGAGCGCUCACCUCGCAUGUGCUAGACCCUGAGUUCGAUCCUCAGCACCA
Molecule: transfer RNA, 69 nt
Filed under: Ictidomys tridecemlineatus (thirteen-lined ground squirrel)
Lineage: Eukaryota; Metazoa; Chordata; Mammalia; Rodentia; Sciuridae
Description: Spermophilus tridecemlineatus (thirteen-lined ground squirrel) tRNA
Rfam family: tRNA
About the family: Transfer RNA (tRNA) molecules are approximately 80 nucleotides in length.
Source: Rfam by way of RNAcentral